Molecule: ribosomal RNA, 207 nt
Filed under: uncultured bacterium
Lineage: Bacteria
Description: partial 16S ribosomal RNA
Rfam family: Bacterial small subunit ribosomal RNA
Source: RNAcentral
UACGUAGGCGGUUAAAUAAGUCAGAUGUGAAAGCCCGAGGCUCAACCUCGGGAUUGCAUUUGAAACUGUUUAACUAGAGUACAGGAGAGGAAAGCGGAAUUCCUAGUGUAGCGGUGAAAUGCGUAGAUAUUAGGAAGAACACCAGUGGCGAAGGCGGCUUUCCGGACUGUAACUGACGCUGAGGUACGAAAGCGUGGGGAGCGAACA